Molecule: long non-coding RNA, 9292 nt
Filed under: Zea mays
Lineage: Eukaryota; Viridiplantae; Streptophyta; Magnoliopsida; Poales; Poaceae
Description: long non-coding RNA (ZMAY_LNC005675)
Source: RNAcentral
AGGCAUAAGUAUUCUCCAAAAGAAAACUAAAGAAAGAUAGAAAAUUAGAGCAAGAUAGAAUUGGGGAAAGGUACAUGCAUGCGCAGAGGCAUAAUAGCUUUCAGUCAUUGGACUGGCUUUUCUCUCACUAGCAUCUCUUUGGGUCGUCCUGUCCUGGCAAAAGACGCGAGGCCGGCGAGGGGGGCAGGGCGCCCUGGUUUUUAAUUGAGCACACGCCAAAACACCCCCGUCCGACCGGGCGGCCACGACAGUUUCUUGCGGCUUUCUUUCGAUCCCGCUCGGAUGCUGCUGUCUCCCGCGGAAAUCCGCUCCGCCGCGCGCGCGCGCGGGUUCCUGUCAUUUAGCACACACAAACUUAGAUUAAGCGAGGUGCUUUUAUGUAGUAGUACUGUAGUAGUAAGUAUUUUUUUCCCCGGUGAUCUGUCGCAGUCAGACCUUCUUCGUUUGAUCCUGGAGAGGGGAUUGAGUGAGGGGGGACUCGCUUAAAUGUAGCGAACAGGAGCACAGACAGGACCUUGCGUGAUGGUUGGGUACGUGUGCAGUACACACUUCAGCUCACCGCCCUGGGACCGAGAGAUACUGGGUAUUCAGGCUAUCCGCAACCGUUACCUCUAAAUAUUUCCCCCUAUAUCACUUUUUCCCCCUAUUUUCCCCCCUAUUUUUUCAUCUCCCGCAGCGGUUCCCCCUAAAUACUCCCCUAUACCCCACUACCACUAUAAAAUAUCAUUUUCUAUAUCAACUAUCAAUUUUUUAUCUACUAACAAUUACUCGUGGACCCACAGCACAGUGUUUAGGGUGAUGAACAGUGACACGCUAGAUCUGAGGGGAGAGAGAAGGGGACCGACACGUAGGGGGCGCUGUAGGGGGCACCGCUGCGGCUAUAGGGUGCCCCCUACGCGCCGCAUGCAAGGGGAGGGAGCGGUGCAGCGUGCACCGCUGCGGCUAGUCUCAGAUCAUCAAUCAUAGACGAACGACACCUGUACACCGGCUACUGUAGCGACCGCUGUCGCGUUGUCAGUUUACUGUCGGUACAGCAACACCGGUGUCUAGAGGGCGGCUGAUGCAGAUUUGUCAGUAGCCCGUCAGUGUCAUGAUUAGUAAGUCAUAACCUACAAAAAAAAAAUGGGAUGCAUAGAUACGCAUGUCAAGGCGCAUACAUCUUUCUGACAGGCCGUUUCUCCGAUAAAACGGGCGCUAUGAUCAGGCCUUCUUUAUUUUAGUUUUUUCGAAGCUGCAAUUGACUGGGCACCCGCACCUCACCGCAAUUUCUCUGCUCGCGUAUGGAAGUUUGCAAUCCUAUUUUCAUUAAAAAAUUGCGAAGUUUGUGGCAUGACCGCACUGAGGAUAUAUGGUUUAUUAGUAGUAUAAGGAUGUGUUUGGUUUGACUUUUGGCUUUGAUUUUUGCCCCCUAAAAGCCAGAAGUCAAAUUAAAAUGCUGAAUCUGGAAAGCAGUUUUUUCUAAAAGCCGACUUUCUUAUAGUGCAAAACUAAAAUCACCUCUGGACCUGCUUUUAGCAGCUUUUAGGUGGAACUGUGAAAAUAUAUAUGGAGGAAUUUUUAGCGACUUUUAGUGGUUUUCACCAAACGAUUUUUAGCUUUUUAGCAGUUCACAGCACACAGUAGCUUUUUUCACAGCUCACAGCCCACAACAGCUUUUUUUUACAGCCACAUCCCAACCAAACAGACCCUAAAUCAUGACAUCGAGAUAGUGAGAUACCACGUCAUAAAUAACAGGGACGUCAACGUGGUAGCCUUUUACACUACGUGAUCCUGAUGUGUUUUCAUAUGCGUCAAGCUUAAUGAGGCCCGUUUCCCCUGGCGUGGCGUUAGUCGUUAGAUGUCUGAAACCAUUUGUAAUUUAUAUAAUUUUUUGGUCAACCGGAACAAUUCGUACGUACGCUCAUUUCUAGACAAACGAACAAGGCCCAAUCUGAGGUUGGUAGCUGAUUGUAUACUCGUAAAUAUGUAUAUACGCAAAAACAAUUGAGCAUAUAUUCCAAUCAAUGGCCGAAUGGCGCCGUGCACUGCCAUUCGUGGAUGCCGCCGGGCGAGGCUGAUGGAUGGGGACGCAACAACGGUUCUUCACGUACGCCGUCGGCUGCUGCCAUCAUCAUGUUGUUGGCGUGCGGGGUGCUGCCCUGUUCAGGCAUCCUGCGUAUAUAGAUGCUUUUUACAUUGCUUGCUGGUUGUGUGUCGUCGGCAGCUUAUCUAAUGCCAAAAUCCAUGUUAGUAUACGCAAGGCUAGCUAGAUGACAAACAUGAGGCGGCCGUAUGGCCUAUCUCAAGCCCCACUGACGUGUAUAAGUAGAAACAGAAAAACUGGAUUGCUUUCGACCGACGUGUCCUGCCUGCCUAGGGUGAUAUAGAAUUUAAGAUAACUAUAUAUAUAUAUUAAAAAGUAUGUAUAGACAAUACAAAUAGACAAUUCAUACAAUUAGUUGCCUGUUAUACUGUCUAUGCGAUUUUUAAUUCAUUUGACAGUCAUUAAGAGAUCCAAUAUACAAGUUGCAUUGAACACGGUCGAAGUAGCCAUACAUUAUUGGUUAUCUUAACGUCUCUUAACGUUGGAACAUGGGACAAAGCCGUCACCACACGUCCACACGAGAGAACAACCGACCGACCGAUGACUCUCUCUCCUUAAUUAGCGUACACGUUGGAUUUUUCUGUUUAGUUAUUGCUUAUGUGCCCUCGGUCUGAACUGAAGAACGUUACUUCCACGCGGGUUACAACAAAAAGAACUUUUAGAUAGUGUUUGGUUUCGAAGUUAGAUGGGACCGAACCAACUCACUCUUAAUUUGUUGUUGUUUGAAUUGAUUCGAGUAUCUUAAAAAGGAAAAAAUAUUUUUAAAUGAUGAAUCUGACUCUUCAAGAAAAAAAAAUAGACGGAACAGCUCCCUGGCAUAGAGCCGGACCAUCCCCGAAAUCAAACACUAGACCACGUGUCUCCGCCUUCUUCCCUGCCCCCGCACAGCCACCUCGCACGAAGUCCUUGCUGCUAGACUGGAGACGAUGCUAGCCGUAGCCGGGACCGCCCUCAACGACGCCUCCGACGCGCGCUCAUGCUGCUUUGAAGACGGGGCAACCAGCGACUGGUGAUGAUUACUAGAAUGAUCUACAAUGAGCUUCAACAAUGUUUUCCUUCAGGCCCUUAAUCCGAUCACCUAAAUCUGGAACUGACGGGACCUAGCCCCCCGGCACGGCCCAACUCAAACCCCCAUCAGAAUCUAGUCCACUGGAUUCUGCCGUGCAACACACUGGUGCCUAGACUUUGCUGCGCAACUCCCUCCCUCCCUCCCUAUCCAUCCACGGCCCACGGCCCACCGAUUUGGGGGAAAAAAACAAGUACGGUACCCGCACCGAUUAAACCGUGCUUCUUGCUUCCCGCUCCCCUCCCCUGCUUGGCUUGACUGCUUCAUCACACCCUGAAAUUUCGAAGGGUUGGCGCUGGUAAAUCUGCAAUCAAACAAUGGGACGUGCUAGUGCUGAAUAGAUAGGACUGUUAGCUAGCUUUGCCUCUAGAUCGACAAGCAAGCAACUAAAACAAAUUAAAGGACCUCGUUACGUUGUGCAGAUCACACACAUGCCGAUUCUUCUAUUGCUGCUUUGCCUUAGAAUACGAUUGUCAGUCAGAAAAGGGGAAUCCUACCACCGUAGUCCGUAGCAGUGUGUGUGUCCUCAACCUGCAACACGUGUUGAAAUAUAAAGCGUCUCUGAAACAGGUGACAAUGCAGUGCCGUCAGAAUAGAUAUAGAAAUCAAGUUUCCAUUUGACUCUCUGUUCUGAUCCAUUUAACUCAAUUACUCAUGUUACUAGCUACGGCCUACGGCAGAAUAGAUAUAGAAAGCGCGUGAUUACCUAUCAUGAACUAGUCAUGUAGGGGCGUGAUAACUGGUAUCAUGUUGGACUAUAGAUGUUACUAGCCACCUAUACGAUGCCAUAAUCUUCCAGUUCCACAUAGCUGGCUGGUUGCUAGGAUUUGCAGGAUUGCUUUUAGCUUAAGCUCGGACAAGCAGAACAAACUAAUGGCGAUGGUUUCCAUCAGUGGCCUCUUUCUUUCCAACCUUUUUCUCAAUCGCCGUCCCACUGACAAAGUGACAAAGACACACACCACACGAUGCCACACAUACAUACUUUUGUUUAAGAAACUUUGCUGGAUUUUUUAUUCUACGAUACAUGUCACUAUUCUAGGCUUCUAGCAAUCAAAAACUAGUAUAUGCCAGAAGCAAAUUCUGACCGAACUGAACUUUGCGCCAGAAGGAAAAAAAAAGGUAUGUUUCUACACGAAGACUCCGGUUAGGUAGAAUAGAAAGAAAGUGUAUCGCAAGUGUGAAGGAAGUUGAAUGAGGAAGUAGAACAAUACCUGACCUUGAGCUUAGAAAAACACAUCGAUUCACACAUGCUGAGAAAGGAAUCAAAAUAUUAUUGUCGUCAACUUGGAUAAAGCUGGAACGACGACAUGAGACGACGACCUAAUCACCAGCAGGCAUCACUCGCAACAACACUGAUUACCACCAUCAUGUUCCUUCUGUUUCAAGGCAGUAUAUAACAACCAGUAGCAUCCUAGUUAAAUCGGCGUACCCCAUGCACUACAGAAAAGUUUAAAACCAUGAAGCAUGCUUGGUAAUCAGUUAUCGCACAUCUCACUAGUGAGAGGGACAUAAUUACCUUAUCUCCACUGAAGAACGGACCAGAACUUCCAGAAGGCUCUCUUAAUUGGGUUGGGUUCUGGUGCUAACUGACCGAAAAAAUCGUGCUUUAUUGGUGACACUUACCUUCGUUGAUGGAUCUAUUACUACUAACUAACUAGCUAACUAGCAUUAUUAUCGGACAACUCUGAUGGCUGAGCACCACCGAUGUUAAAACUCAGCGAUCAGCAGUCGCUGCUGGGUGACGCCUCAGCUAAUAAUGCUGAAGCUUGUCAGAGUGAAAGCAACGUGAACAUGAAGCUUGUCAAAGUUUUGCUGUUCUUUCAUUCAACAGCGUUCUUAGCUAGCUAGUACCUGGAUAGUGGAUAUACAGUCACCGACAAACAGUUUUGUCUUUUUUUACAUUGGAAAAGCAGGUAUUCCCAUGUGUUUAACAAAUUAGAAAUCUAUGGCCAACAUUUCUUCCUUUACGACUAGAAUAACCUGCCUCGAUCGCAAUCUUUUUAAGGUUGUACACUUGUACUACUCACUCUUAGCGAAUGGUGGUUCAGGCUGAGGUUGCUCUGUAACAAGCAUUCAAGAAAAAGUUUCGAUGGCCUUCUAUUUUAUUUCUGGUAGAGCUUAUGGUUGGAGAGAAACAACAGAAUCUUCAAGGGUCAACAGAGAACGACAGAACAAGUGGUGCAGAUGGUGAAAGAUCUUGUGGGUAGAGGUCUGACCUGCUAGUAGUGUCUGGGGGCCUGGCCAGAGGGUUAGAUUUUAUUCAGUGGUGCUAGAUAGGUGUUGCUUGUCUAGUGUUUUUGGUGUUGACGUCAUUUUUUGUGCCAGUUUUUGUACAGUGUUUACUCCUUUUAUCUAAUAUAUUGGAAGGCAAUUCUUUUGUCUUUCCCUUUCAAAAAAUGUACUACUCCAUUUAUCUGAGCAUUCAAAGAGAAAAGUGGAUCCAGCGUUGACAAAUUCCUAAGCUUCGGUCGAGAAUAGAUUUUUCGAUGCAAGUCCAGCACCGCAAACAAUGUCUACUUUCCCGAUCGGGGGCACGGUAUGUGAAGCGAAGCAACUGCAUGCGUUUUGGAUUCUCUGAGUGGUCCGUUUCCAGCAAUAAGCAAAGGAGUAUGUGCCCAACUAAACAGCUAAAAAAAAGGUCGAAUAAUCUCAACGAACUGGAUGGAGCAUUGAACUCCAAGCUUGUCGAAACUUACUUUGCGUUGUGCUAAUGGUGGUGCUAGUACUAGUACCAUCCUAGCUUUGUAACCAGCUAGUACAUACGCAUGGGGCUUGGCAAACACACAGAGCAUCAGGCAAUGAUGAAGUCGCUCGUCUCGUCUCCAUGUGUACAAGAGGUGUACAUCAUAAAGAUGAACUUCACCACUACAGAAUUAAUGUUUGUUAGGAGUGAGAGUACGAGUACAUCAAACAUAAACGCUCGCGUUCAGCGGAGGUACCUGACUACGGUAGGUGCAGCCAGCGUACCUAGCUUCUGCUGUGGUAAGAGGCAAACUCGUCAGUACAGUACCUCAAACUGAACUUCCCAGUCACUACUGUCCCGGUACAUGAGAUGAACUGCAUUGUGCUGGCACUGAUAACACUAGUGUGAUUCCGUACCAGCUCUAGUCGUUUAAACUACUGUGCCACUGGAUAAAAAAGAGCAGUGCAAUGGUCCACCUAGCUCUUCUAAGAUGCUGUCGCUUUUUACGGUCUGCAGCAGCAGCAGAACCAGCAGCCAGAUAUCAGCCCUUUGCGCACAUGCGCUAGCACAUGGUUAAAUGCUAACGGGGUCAUGUGUUUGCAGACCUAAAGCAUAUGUGACUAAGGGGCUGUUUGGUUUCUAGGGACUAAUGUUUAGUCCCUUUAUUUUAUUCCUUUUUAGUAUAUAAAUUGCUAAAUAUAGAAACUAAAAUAAAGUUUUAUUUUCUAUAUUUAGCAAUUUUGGAACUAAAAUGGAAUAAAAUGUAGAGACUAAACAUUAGUCGCUAGAAACCAAAUACCCCCUAAAGCUAUUCGCGAAAUGUUACAGACGGUUUGUGAAUUAGCUAGGAUACUAAUAAUGUGACCCACAAGGCUGAAUAAUUGAUUAAAGGCAUAAAAAAAGAUCGCAGAACAACCUCCUUAGAAGCAAAGGGGGAGGAGGUCAAGGACUGAUAUAUAGAGGGGAGGGAACAGUGUGGGGCCUCACGAAGCUUAACCUGCAAACAAUGUACGUCUUUAAGGCUGAUUUGGUGACCAGGGAUAAUGAGGAGAUCGGAGGGGAUUGAGGAGCCCCUAAAACUGAUGCUCGCUGGGUUUUGGAGCCUCGUUUAUGAGGUUCGUUUAUGAGGAGCCCCUAAACGUACUCGUAGUCGUAGCCUACAACUAAUGAGUAGGAGUCCACCUAGUUGUAUCGUCAUUUCUGUCGUCUCGCCAACGCAGAGUCGACAGUUUAAGCAACGUCAGGCUUCUGGGCCCAGCCCAACACAGCACAGCAGCUCGCGCGGGUGACCUAACUCUCCUCCCACAUUCUGACAUGGUUCCACAAUCCACGCCCCCGCAACCACCACUCAACCGCCUCCGCCACAUACCCGCCGCGCCCAUGAAAUAUGAACCCCUCUUCUCUUCCUGGGCCCCGCUUUAUCAGCAUCGCGCCGACGUGUGCGACGCCGCCUACCGCCUCACGGCACGUGCCCGCCCUAGCCCGUUAAGUAACUGCCCCGCAACAACCGUACCCACCAGCCCCACUGACGCUCGUGCCCCACGCAGUACCACUCCCGGUCCGAGCCCACCGCGUCAGUGUCACUUGAGCGCGAGCGUCGGUGCCUCGCGGUUCUCCUCUCCCCCCGCGCGUACAAAUAGGGGGAGGCGGAGAGGGAACGAGGGAUAGAGGAGAGAGGACCGACCAGAGUACCGGACACGCAGCGAGGGGGAGGAAGAAGGAAGCAAGAGGGAGGACCGAGCAGGCCUAGGCCCUAGGGUAGUCCCGUCCGGUCCCCUGCGGUGCAAGUCCGGCCGGCGGGCGGGCUGACUGCCUGGCGUCGGUAGGGGGCGACGGCGAUCUAUAUCUGUCGAUGGGCUACUGGUGGGACCGCGUCGUGCUGCCGGUGCGGCGGGCCUGGCUCGGCGUCGCGUCCCGCUUCGGGGUUCGCCAGACCGGUACGGCGCGAGGGCGAGGCUCGGCGUUCGUCGGCGGCUCCCGUACAAUCUCCCGUCUGCGCUGCGCUGCGCUGCGCUGCGCUGCGCUGACUGACCCCGUCGCUGGUUGCUGCUUGUUGCAGGGCUGUGGAGGCUGCGGCAGGAGGUGAGCACGUGCGAGUACGAGGACGUGCACGUGAUGUGGGAGAUGCUGAGCCGCACCACGGCGCCGGCGCCUAGGCGGCCCAGCCGGUUCGGGCCGCAGCCGCGGCCGUGGGGCAGCAGGUUCCGUCUCUGCCGAGGCUUCUAGUGCUGUUGCUGCGGUGCGGGGUACUAGUGAUUCCGCUUCAUUUUGGCUUCUCUCUCUCUCUCUUGUUCUUUGGUUUUCGCUGCUUGUAUGUACCGUCGUCGUCCAUCCCUCCUGGCUCUGAGAUGUACUUCCAUUCCUCCUCGUGUAUCCGUCUCCGCCCGCCUGCAGAUGAUAUACCGGGGCAUGUGAAUGAACAGAGCUGAUUUCGGUCGGGUAAUAAUCCUGUCCUUGUUGCUACCAUACCACCUACCUACUUCUCUUUUGACCCUUGACGACGAAUUCAUCUGUAAACAGAGGGGUAGAGAGUAUUAGUGUACGAUUUCAAGAUUCAGCCAGUUGGUCUUGCUUUGUGCGUCCUGUUUAUUCAGGUUAGUUUCAGGCAAAGCAAUUCCAUCUGACUAUCCGAGGGAGGAGGGCCCAUGGCAUCUCCAGUCGAAAAAAGCUCGUCAGUCACCAGGACCAGGAGGUAGAGCAAGCUCGGGGGAAAAAACGAAUAUUCGUUCAGCAGUCGCUAGAUAGGUGCGCAAGAAAGAAUUGACGUCUCGCGCUCUGACCCGCGCAGCUCUGUGCUGUAGUUUUUCGGUGGUCGCUAAAGCCGGUCGAUCGUGAUCAGUCUCGCGAACCAUCGCCCCGUGAUGGGUAAUGGCCUUGCGGGCGGCGCACUUGAGCUAGCCUCGGCUGAUACCUACGUGCCACUGAACGCUAUCAGCUGCAGCACAGCACAACCACCCCCCCCCUGGUACUCUUGUCCUCCCACCACUGCCACUGCCAGUAACUUCAGGCAUAAGUAUUCUCCAAAAGAAAACUAAAGAAAGAUAGAAAAUUAGAGCAAGAAGAAUAGAAUUGGGGAAAAGUACAUGCAUGCGCAGAGGCAUAAAAAGCUUUCAGUCAUUGGACUGACUUUUCUCCACUAGCAUCUCUUUGGGUCGUCCUGGUUUUUAAUUGACCACACGCCAAAACACCCCCGUCCGGCCGGGCGGCCACGACAGUUUCUUGCGGCUUCUUUCGAUUCCGCCCGGAUGCGCAGAGGCCCUUGUAGAUUAAGCGAGGUGCUUUUAUGUAGUAGUAGUAGUAGUAAGUAUUUUUGUCCCCGGUGAUCUGUCACAGUCGGACCUUCUUCGUUUGAUCCUGGAGAGGGGGUUGAGGUUGAGGGGGACUCGCUUUGAUGAGUCUGAAAUAUGCAGCGAACAGGACCGCGUGAUGAUUGGGUACGUGUGCAGCACACACUUCACCU